RNAcentral lists this ribosomal RNA (204 nucleotides) under Triticum aestivum (bread wheat). RNAcentral's name for it is "partial small subunit ribosomal RNA". Lineage: Eukaryota; Viridiplantae; Streptophyta; Magnoliopsida; Poales; Poaceae. The record is from RNAcentral.
AUGACACCCACCUUAUAUCUAUUGUGGGCCAAGGGUACGAGAAUUUUUAUGAAAGCGUUUCAUUUGCUUCUCUUCAAUGAAAGUUUCAUUUUCCCAGAAUGUAUCCUAAUUUUUGGCCUAAUUCUUCUUCUGAUGAUCGAUUCAACCUCUGAUCAAAAAGAUAGACCUUGGUUCUAUUUCAUUUUUCUCCCGUCCAAGCUUUGA